Molecule: unclassified non-coding RNA, 771 nt
Filed under: Hevea brasiliensis (rubber tree)
Lineage: Eukaryota; Viridiplantae; Streptophyta; Magnoliopsida; Malpighiales; Euphorbiaceae
Source: RNAcentral
AAAAUUGAAAGGACCAUACUACAGGGGUCAGCUCAGUUUGAAGGCUACACACCAGAGACUUCAUUUUUACAAUAAAAUAUGAUAUAGCUACAAAUUGAAANNNAAAAGAAAGAAAAAGUCAAAAAAAAAAAAAGGCAAAAAUAGUCACUCGGGAUUGCAGCACAAAAUGGAAACAAAUAUUUUUCGACCUCUUAAUAGGUCAAAGAAAUACAAAGAAUUUAUCCUAAAAAAAUAUUACCAGAUACUUUUCGCCUGCACAACCCCAUAGGAUUCUGAAGCUCCAGACAUGUUGAUAUUUUCAAACCUUUUGUUCCCAAAGCGUACUUUCUAUUUACUUGAAGUAGUCUUGCCGCAGAACUGUAACAAAAUUGGAGGUUUGCCCAUCUUCGUCUUUCUGCUUCCAAAGUUCCCCAUUGCCUUGGAUGUACCAUGAUACUUUUGGAGACAAUGGAGUAUAAAGAUCUGUUACAAAAGGUGGAUCAGGGUCUCUCGUACUAUGUAACACAGCAGUCCCGGAUAAUACAGUGAUAAACCCACAAAGCUCAGAUGCUAUACUGCUUGCACUUUGGCCAGAAUAAUCCUUGAACAUUAUAGCGCUAGCAAGUAUUGUAAAAGAUGUGAACAUGGCAUAAUAUAUUGGAGAAACAAUUGCUGUGUUGAAAGUAUCCAAUGCCAUGUUUAGAUAAUUUAAUUGAGUGAUGAUACAGGUAAUUGCAACCAUUGCAAAAACCCAUGUCUGGAAAUAUUUUGCCUGGUUUAUGCCCUCCAAUG